This is a non-coding RNA of Podarcis lilfordi (Lilford's wall lizard), 71 nucleotides long. NCBI's taxonomy places the organism in Eukaryota, Metazoa, Chordata, Lepidosauria, Squamata, Lacertidae. The record is from the annotation of a GenBank genome assembly.
GAGAUAGCUUAGUUGGUAGAACAUGAGACUCUUAAUCUCAGGGUCCUGAGUUCAAGCCCCACGUUGGAGAA